Molecule: ribosomal RNA, 253 nt
Filed under: uncultured bacterium
Lineage: Bacteria
Description: partial 16S ribosomal RNA
Rfam family: Bacterial small subunit ribosomal RNA
Source: RNAcentral
UACGGAGGGUGCAAACGUUGCUCGGAAUCAUUGGGCGUAAAGCGCACGUAGGCGGCUUGUUAAGUCGGGUGUGAAAUCCCCAGGCUCAACCUGGGAAGUGCACUCGAAACUGGCAAGCUUGAAUAUGGAAGAGGGUCGCGGAAUUCCCGGUGUAGAGGUGAAAUUCGUAGAUAUCGGGAGGAACACCAGUGGCGAAGGCGGCGACCUGGGCCAAUAUUGACGCUGAGGUGCGAAAGCGUGGGGAGCAAACAGG